AACGAACGCUGGCGGCAGGCUUAACACAUGCAAGUCGAGCGCCCCGCAAGGGGAGCGGCAGACGGGUGAGUAACGCGUGGGAAUCUACCCAGCUCUACGGAACAACUCCGGGAAACUGGAGCUAAUACCGUAUACGUCCUUCGGGAGAAAGACUUAUCGGAGUUGGAUGAGCCCGCGUUGGAUUAGCUAGUUGGUGGGUAAUGGCCUACCAAGGCGACGAUCCAUAGCUGGUCUGAGAGGAUGAUCAGCCACACUGGGACUGAGACACGGCCCAGACUCCUACGGGAGGCAGCAGUGGGGAAUAUUGGACAAUGGGCGAAAGCCUGAUCCAGCCAUGCCGCGUGAGUGAUGAAGGCCCUAGGGUUGUAAAGCUCUUUCACCGGUGAAGAUAAUGACGGUAACCGGAGAAGAAGCCCCGGCUAACUACGUGCCAGCAGCCGCCGUAA
Molecule: ribosomal RNA, 446 nt
Filed under: uncultured bacterium
Lineage: Bacteria
Description: partial 16S ribosomal RNA
Rfam family: Bacterial small subunit ribosomal RNA
Source: RNAcentral